AUUGAACGCUGGCGGCAUGCCUUACACAUGCAAGUCGAACGGCAGCACGGGAGCAAUCCUGGUGGCGAGUGGCGAACGGGUGAGUAAUGUAUCGGAACGUACCUUUCAGUGGGGGAUAACGUAGCGAAAGUUACGCUAAUACCGCAUAUUCUGUGAGCAGGAAAGCAGGGGAUCGCAAGACCUUGCGCUGAUUGAGCGGCCGAUAUCAGAUUAGCUAGUUGGUGAGGUAAAGGCUCACCAAGGCGACGAUCUGUAGCGGGUCUGAGAGGAUGAUCCGCCACACUGGAACUGAGACACGGUCCAGACUCCUACGGGAGGCAGCAGUGGGGAAUUUUGGACAAUGGGCGCAAGCCUGAUCCAGCCAUGCCGCGUGAGUGAAGAAGGCCUCGGUG
RNAcentral lists this ribosomal RNA (392 nucleotides) under uncultured bacterium. RNAcentral describes it as "bacterial SSU rRNA". It matches the Rfam family "Bacterial small subunit ribosomal RNA", at positions 30 to 422 of the family's 1533-position model. The record is from RNAcentral.